Small nuclear RNA from Suncus etruscus (white-toothed pygmy shrew), 107 nucleotides. NCBI's taxonomy places the organism in Eukaryota, Metazoa, Chordata, Mammalia, Eulipotyphla, Soricidae. The record is from RefSeq and is a predicted model, not a curated record.
GUGUUCGCUUUGGCAGUACAUAUAAUAAAAUUGGAACAAUACAGAGAAUAUUAGCAUGGCCCAUGCAAAAGGAAGACACGCAAAUUCAUGAAGCACUCCAUAUUUUU